This 817-nucleotide ribosomal RNA is filed under the name Shigella boydii. Its description in RNAcentral is "partial 16S ribosomal RNA". It matches the Rfam family "Bacterial small subunit ribosomal RNA", at positions 640 to 1472 of the family's 1533-position model. Lineage: Bacteria; Pseudomonadati; Pseudomonadota; Gammaproteobacteria; Enterobacterales; Enterobacteriaceae. The record is from RNAcentral.
ACNUNAUUUNNUAAGGGGGUGAAUUCCAGGGUAACNGUNAANNCGNANANUNNGAGAANACCGGGGGGAAGGGGCCCCCUGGACGAAGACUGACCUCAGGUNGAAAGCNUNGGNGCAANCAGGAUUAGAUACCCUNNUANUCCNCNCCGUAAACGAUNUCGACNUGGAGGUUGUGCCCUUGAGGGGGGCUUCCGGAGCUAACGCGUUAAGUCGACCNCNUNGGGAGUACGGCCGCAAGGUUAAAACUCAAAUGANUGACGGGGGCCCGCACAAGCGGUGGAGCAUGUGGUUUUAAUUCGAUGCAACGCGAAGAACCUUACCUGGUCUUGACAUCCACAGAACUUUUCAGAGAUGGAUNGGUGCCUUCGGGAACUGUGAGACAGGUGCUGCAUGGCUGUCGUCAGCUCGUGUUGUGAAAUGUUGGGUUAAGUCCCGCAACGAGCGCAACCCUUAUCCUUUGUUGCCAGCGGUCCGGCCGGGAACUCAAAGGAGACUGCCAGUGAUAAACUGGAGGAAGGUGGGGAUGACGUCAAGUCAUCAUGGCCCUUACGACCAGGGCUACACACGUGCUACAAUGGCGCAUACAAAGAGAAGCGACCUCGCGAGAGCAAGCGGACCUCAUAAAGUGCGUCGUAGUCCGGAUUGGAGUCUGCAACUCGACUCCAUGAAGUCGGAAUCGCUAGUAAUCGUGGAUCAGAAUGCCACGGUGAAUACGUUCCCGGGCCUUGUACACACCGCCCGUCACACCAUGGGAGUGGGUUNCAAAAGAAGUAGGUAGNUUAACCNUCGGGAGGGCNCUACGCACNUNNGAUCAUAC